Molecule: ribosomal RNA, 471 nt
Filed under: uncultured bacterium
Lineage: Bacteria
Description: bacterial SSU rRNA
Rfam family: Bacterial small subunit ribosomal RNA
Source: RNAcentral
ACUCCUACGGGAGGCAGCAGUGAGGAAUAUUGGUCAAUGGAGGGAACUCUGAACCAGCCAUCCCGCGUGUAGGAAGACGGCCUUAUGGGUUGUAAACUACUUUUAUACAGGAAGAAACGUACCCUCGUGAGGGUGCCUGACGGUACUGUAGGAAUAAGCACCGGCUAACUCCGUGCCAGCAGCCGCGGUAAUACGGAGGGGUGCGAGCGUUAUCCGGAUUUAUUGGGGUUUAAAGGGGUCCGUAGGCGGAUUAAUAAGUCAGUGGUGAAAUCCCAUCGCUUAACGAUGGAACUGCCAUUGAUACUGUUAGUCUUGAAUGAGGGUGCAGUGGUUGGAAUGUGUAGUGUAGCGGUGAAAUGCAUAGAUAUUACACAGAACACCGAUUGCGAAGGCAGAUCACUAACCCUAAAUUGACGCUGAGGGACGAAAGCGUGGGGAGCGAACAGGAUUAGAUACCCUGGUAGGAUAGCG